This 253-nucleotide ribosomal RNA is filed under the name uncultured bacterium. Its description in RNAcentral is "partial 16S ribosomal RNA". It matches the Rfam family "Bacterial small subunit ribosomal RNA", at positions 524 to 776 of the family's 1533-position model. The record is from RNAcentral.
UACAGAGGGGGCAAGCGUUGUUCGGAAUUACUGGGCGUAAAGGGCGCGUAGGCGGCCUUCUAAGUCAUGCGUGAAAUCCCCGGGCUCAACCCGGGAACUGCGUCUGAUACUGGAAGGCUCGAAUCCGGGAGAGGGAUGUGGAAUUCCAGGUGUAGCGGUGAAAUGCGUAGAUAUCUGGAGGAACACCGGUGGCGAAGGCGGCAUCCUGGACCGGCAUUGACGCUGAGGCGCGAAAGCCAGGGGAGCAAACGGG